CUUCCCCUUCUUUUCAUCCCUCUAGGCUUCUGCAAUUUCUGUCUACCCGCAAAAAUCCAGAGGAUACCCAGUUGCCCUGAGGUGUACCUGACUUAAUUGCUCUCUUGAACCCUGAUUUUUCUCGUAUCUAGAGUCGGCAAUUUUUUACAGACUCUUCAGGCAUGGAAGCAAUGAAGAUGAAGCUCUUUGUGGCUCUCAUGGUGGCAGUCGUGGCUUUCUCCGCCGUGCAGAAGGCUGCAGCUGCUGAUGCUCCUGCGCCAACCCCUGCAUCUGAUGCAGCUCUCUUUGUUCCUACCUUCUUUGCCUCUCUUGGUGCUUUGGCUCUUGGGUUUCUCUUUUGAGCAAACCAAGAAUGUCAAAGUCCUCAUUUUUAGAUAUAGAAGAACAUGGUUUCUCUGAUUCUCUCCAUUUCUCCUUGGUUCAUUAUCUGUUUUUUUUUUCUUCUCUCACCUCUGAUGGUUUCAGCCAACUACCUCUGCUGUUUGGUGCACGAGAAUGCGAGAAAAGAAGGAAACGGGAUGGAAAAAUUCUCCUCUUUUUUGUAUUAUGUUAUUUUGGAGAUGUAGUUUUAAGUUUAAUCAUUAUGAUUUUUAUUG
RNAcentral lists this long non-coding RNA (596 nucleotides) under Carica papaya (papaya). RNAcentral describes it as "long non-coding RNA (CPAP_LNC006227)". Lineage: Eukaryota; Viridiplantae; Streptophyta; Magnoliopsida; Brassicales; Caricaceae. The record is from RNAcentral.